UACAGAGGGGGCAAGCGUUGUUCGGAAUUACUGGGCGUAAAGGGCGCGUAGGCGGCCUGCUAAGUCGAACGUGAAAUCCCCGGGCUCAACCCGGGAACUGCGUCCGAUACUGGUUGGCUUGAAUCCGGGAGAGGGAUGCGGAAUUCCAGGUGUAGCGGUGAAAUGCGUAGAUAUCUGGAGGAACACCGGUGGCGAAGGCGGCAUCCUGGACCGGCAUUGACGCUGAGGCGCGAAAGCGUGGGGAGCGAACAGG
This 253-nucleotide ribosomal RNA is filed under the name uncultured bacterium. RNAcentral describes it as "partial 16S ribosomal RNA". It matches the Rfam family "Bacterial small subunit ribosomal RNA", at positions 524 to 776 of the family's 1533-position model. The record is from RNAcentral.